AUUGAACGCUGGCGGCAGGCCUAACGCAUGCAAGUCGAGCGGAUGAAGGGAGCUUGCUCCUGGAUUCAGCGGCGGACGGGUGAGUAAUGCCUAGGAAUCUGCCUGGUAGUGGGGGAUAACGUCCGGAAACGGGCGCUAAUACCGCAUACGUCCUGAGGGUGAAAGUGGGGGAUCUUCGGACCUCAUGCUAUCAGAUGAGCCUAGGUCGGAUUAGCUAGUUGGUGGGGUAAAGGCCUACCAAGGCGACGAUCCGUAACUGGUCUGAGAGGAUGAUCAGUCACACUGGAACUGAGACACGGUCCAGACUCCUACGGGAGGCAGCAGUGGGGAAUAUUGGACAAUGGGCGAAAGCCUGAUCCAGCCAUGCCGCGUGUGUGAAGAAGGUCUUCGGAUUGUAAAGCACUUUAAGUUGGGAGGAAGGGCAGUAAGUUAAUACCUUGCUGUUUUGACGUUACCAACAGAAUAAGCACCGGCUAACUUCGUG
Molecule: ribosomal RNA, 484 nt
Filed under: uncultured bacterium
Lineage: Bacteria
Description: partial 16S ribosomal RNA
Rfam family: Bacterial small subunit ribosomal RNA
Source: RNAcentral